This 399-nucleotide ribosomal RNA is filed under the name uncultured bacterium. Its description in RNAcentral is "bacterial SSU rRNA". It matches the Rfam family "Bacterial small subunit ribosomal RNA", at positions 28 to 430 of the family's 1533-position model. The record is from RNAcentral.
GACGAACGCUGGCGGCGUGCUUAACACAUGCAAGUCGAGCGGUAAGGCCCUUUCGGGGGUACGACGAGCGGCGAACGGGUUGAGUAACACGUGGGUGACCUGCCCUCAGCUCUGGGAUAAGCCUGGGAAACCGGGUCUAAUACUGGAUAUGACUCCAUGACGCAUGUUGUGGGGUGGAAAGCCUUGUGCGGCUGAGGAUGGGCCCGCGGCCUAUCAGCUUGUUGGUGGGGUGAUGGCCUACCAAGGCGACGACGGGUAGCCGGCCUGAGAGGGCGACCGGCCACACUGGGACUGAGACACGGCCCAGACUCCUACGGGAGGCAGCAGUGGGGAAUCUUGCGCAAUGGGCGAAAGCCUGACGCAGCGACGCCGCGUGAGGGAUGACGGCCUGGUGUAACU